This 466-nucleotide ribosomal RNA is filed under the name uncultured bacterium. RNAcentral describes it as "partial 16S ribosomal RNA". It matches the Rfam family "Bacterial small subunit ribosomal RNA", at positions 28 to 507 of the family's 1533-position model. The record is from RNAcentral.
GACGAACGCUGGCGGCGUGCUUAACACAUGCAAGUCGUGCGGUAAGGCCCUUUCCUGGGUACACGAGCGGCGAACGGGUGAGUAACACGUGAGCAACCUGCCCUUCCCUUUGGGAUAACUGCCGCAACCGGUAGCUAAUGCCGAUGAUGACUUCCUCUCACAUCUGGGUGGUUGUAAAGCCUUCGGGUGGUGGGGUAUGGCCUCUCGGUCUAUCAGCUUGUUGGUGGGGUGAUGGCCAACUAAGGCUUUGACGGGUAGCCGGCCUGUGAGGGUGACCGGCCACAAUGGGACUAAGACAGGGCGCAGACUGCUACGGGAGGCAGCAGUGGGGAAUAUUGGACAAUGGGCGAAAGCCUGAUCCAGCAACGCCGGGUGAGGGAUGACGGCCUUCGGGUUGUAAACCUCUUUCGACUGCGACGAAGCGAGAGUGACGGUAGCAGGUAAAGAAGCACCGGCCAACUACGUG